RNAcentral lists this ribosomal RNA (1013 nucleotides) under Staphylococcus aureus. RNAcentral describes it as "partial 23S ribosomal RNA". It matches the Rfam family "Bacterial large subunit ribosomal RNA", at positions 1198 to 2211 of the family's 2925-position model. Lineage: Bacteria; Bacillati; Bacillota; Bacilli; Caryophanales; Staphylococcaceae. The record is from RNAcentral.
AGCUGUGGAUUGUCCUUUGGACAAUGGUAGGAGAGCGUUCUAAGGGCGUUGAAGCAUGAUCGUAAGGACAUGUGGAGCGCUUAGAAGUGAGAAUGCCGGUGUGAGUAGCGAAAGACGGGUGAGAAUCCCGUCCACCGAUUGACUAAGGUUUCCAGAGGAAGGCUCGUCCGCUCUGGGUUAGUCGGGUCCUAAGCUGAGGCCGACAGGCGUAGGCGAUGGAUAACAGGUUGAUAUUCCUGUACCACCUAUAAUCGUUUUAAUCGAUGGGGGGACGCAGUAGGAUAGGCGAAGCGUGCGAUUGGAUUGCACGUCUAAGCAGUAAGGCUGAGUAUUAGGCAAAUCCGGUACUCGUUAAGGCUGAGCUGUGAUGGGGAGAAGACAUUGUGUCUUCGAGUCGUUGAUUUCACACUGCCGAGAAAAGCCUCUAGAUAGAAAAUAGGUGCCCGUACCGCAAACCGACACAGGUAGUCAAGAUGAGAAUUCUAAGGUGAGCGAGCGAACUCUCGUUAAGGAACUCGGCAAAAUGACCCCGUAACUUCGGGAGAAGGGGUGCUCUUUAGGGUUAACGCCCAGAAGAGCCGCAGUGAAUAGGCCCAAGCGACUGUUUAUCAAAAACACAGGUCUCUGCUAAACCGUAAGGUGAUGUAUAGGGGCUGACGCCUGCCCGGUGCUGGAAGGUUAAGAGGAGUGGUUAGCUUCUGCGAAGCUACGAAUCGAAGCCCCAGUAAACGGCGGCCGUAACUAUAACGGUCCUAAGGUAGCGAAAUUCCUUGUCGGGUAAGUUCCGACCCGCACGAAAGGCGUAACGAUUUGGGCACUGUCUCAACGAGAGACUCGGUGAAAUCAUAGUACCUGUGAAGAUGCAGGUUACCCGCGACAGGACGGAAAGACCCCGUGGAGCUUUACUGUAGCCUGAUAUUGAAAUUCGGCACAGCUUGUACAGGAUAGGUAGGAGCCUUUGAAACGUGAGCGCUAGCUUACGUGGAGGCGCUGGUGGGAUACUACCCUAGCUG